Molecule: ribosomal RNA, 245 nt
Filed under: uncultured bacterium
Lineage: Bacteria
Description: partial 16S ribosomal RNA
Rfam family: Bacterial small subunit ribosomal RNA
Source: RNAcentral
UACGUAGGUGUCAAGCGUUGUUCGGAUUUAUUGGGCGUAAAGGGUCCGCAGGUGGCCUGGCAAGUCUGAUGUGAAAUCCCGGAGCUCAACUCCGGAACUGCAUUGGAAACUGCUAGGCUCGAGUAUCGGAGAGGAGAUUGGAAUUCCAGGUGUAGCGAUAAAAUGCGUAGAUAUCUGGAAGAACAUCGAAAGCGAAGGCAGAUCUCUGGACGGUUACUGACACUCAGGGACGAAAGCAUGGGGAG